RNAcentral lists this ribosomal RNA (388 nucleotides) under uncultured euryarchaeote. Its description in RNAcentral is "bacterial SSU rRNA". It matches the Rfam family "Archaeal small subunit ribosomal RNA", at positions 339 to 727 of the family's 1478-position model. The record is from RNAcentral. Lineage: Archaea; Methanobacteriati; Methanobacteriota.
UCGGGAAACUUUUGCAAUGCGCGCAAGCGUGACAAAGCAAGCCAGAGUGUUUCUCUUUUAUGAGAAACUUUUGCCAGCUGCAAAAAGGCUGGCGAAUAAGGACUGGGCAAGACCGGUGCCAGCCGCCGCGGUAAUCCCGGCGGUCCAAGUCGCAGCCACAUUUAUUGGGUCUAAAACAUCCGUAGCUUGCUUUGCAAGUCUCUUGUGAAAUCUUAUAUCUUAAGUAUAAGGCGUGCAAGAGAUACUGUAUUGCUAGAGACCGGAAGACGUAACGAGUACAUCCAAGGUAGUGGUAAAAUACGUUAAUCUUGGGUGGACUAACAAUGGCGAAGGCACGUUACGAGGACGGAUCUGACAGUGAGGGAUGAAGGCUAGGGGCGCAAAAUGG